AUGUGCUUCCCACCGCCGCAGCGAAUGUUGCCUGACUCGAAUACUGAGGGCGGUUCAAUGGCCACUGACCGUGGCGUGCAGAUUGAGAAAGGUGCCCAGAUAGGCGACAUGAGGUCAAUGCCCUACCAGGGCAUUGGAUUGGAUUCUGCAGUUAAAAUUCCGUCCUUGAGAUCCGGAAUCGAGCGAGCAGCAAUGGCGGCCGCCCCCGCUGAAGUUCUUCCGCCGGCCAAGAGGUGGAAAAAGGACCCCAAUUGCCUGGAAACCUCACCGGUCCAUCCGGCCAAUGCGGUGACCGCAGACUGGCCCUCGCUCCCAGACGAUAUCAUCCGCCGCAUCGCCGACUCCUUCCUCGCCGCCAACGACCUAGAUUGGUACAUGGAUCUGCGCGCCGUCUGCCACAACUGGCGCUCCGCCACCGACGACCCCAGGAACAACACCUCUGACCCCCGGUUCCUCCCAUGCCGCUGGAUCAUCCUCGACGAGGUCUUCGAGAGCGACACGCGCCGCCUCUUGGUCAACACCGCCAUCGGCCGGUUCCUCCAUAAGGAGCUCCCGGCGCUCCGCGGCUACCACGUUGUCGCCACCACUCUAUGCGGCCUCUUCGUCAUGGCCGACAGGAGCGCUCCUCACGCCGCUCGUGUCUUCAACCCUCUCACCGGCGAUAUCAUCCGUUUCACGGCGCCAUGCCGCCCGAGGUGCAGUCCACACAGUUCUCACUCCCAAGACUAUGUCUUUGAUCCUAGAGUUUACAGUUUCUUCCGGAGCGCGGUCGGAGGUGGUUUGGUCGGCCGUUGGUGGGAAUUAGCCAGAACAACUGACUUGGCUCUCAAGAUCUGCAAAGUGGGGCUGUCACUUGGCAUCAAUCUGUCGAAGUUUUUUUCUGGUGAUCCUACUGAGAUCGGACUUGCAAACGAUGCCCGGUGUUUCGCAAUGGAAUUUAUUGGACAGAUGCUGAUCAUCGUCAAGGGACAACAAUUCUUCCAGAUUUUAAGAGUCAAAACCGAGAGCGGCGAGCUUUUGCAUGUGGAGAGCAUCUGCAACCAUGCCAUCUUCAUUGGUCAUCAUAGGAGCCUUGCUGUGGAUGCUCACAUGUUUCCAUCAAUAGAGGCAAACUGUAUCUACUACACUGAACACCAGGUUUCGUCUGCCCACAUCUGGAAGUACAACAUCAAGGACCGAAAAGCAGAAAGGAUCUCAGAAGCCGUCGAUUUUGUGAAGCCGGACAAGCAGUUUGUCCUGCUCGGCGACCGUCCUUCCACGCUCAUCCAGCUUCUGUCGAGCUACACCAUCAGCACCCGGGAUUCUGAACUGGCUGGUGCAGUUAAACUUGAUGAUUGA
This 1338-nucleotide ribosomal RNA is filed under the name Triticum aestivum (bread wheat). Its description in RNAcentral is "partial small subunit ribosomal RNA". The record is from RNAcentral. Lineage: Eukaryota; Viridiplantae; Streptophyta; Magnoliopsida; Poales; Poaceae.